UAUUGGUCAAUGGGCGGAAGCCUGAUGCAGCGACGCCGCGUGAGUGAAGAAGUAUCUCGGUANGUAAAGCUCUAUCAGCAGGGAANNAUNNNANGGUACCUGACUAAGAAGCCCCGGCUAACUACGGUCCNNNCGCCGCGGUAAUACGUAGGGGGCAAGCGUUAUCCGGAUUUACUGGGUGUAAAGGGAGCGUAGACGGCGACGCAAGUCUGGAGUGAAAGCCCGGGGCCCAACCCCGGGACUGCUUUGGAAACUGUGCUGCUGGAGUGCAGGAGAGGUAAGUGGAAUUCCUAGUGUAGCGGUGAAAUGCGUAGAUAUUAGGAGGAACACCAGUGGCGAAGGCGGCUUACUGGACUGUAACUGACGUUGAGGCUCGAAAGCGUGGGGAGCAAACAG
This 396-nucleotide ribosomal RNA is filed under the name uncultured bacterium. RNAcentral describes it as "partial 16S ribosomal RNA". It matches the Rfam family "Bacterial small subunit ribosomal RNA", at positions 362 to 775 of the family's 1533-position model. The record is from RNAcentral.